This 450-nucleotide ribosomal RNA is filed under the name uncultured bacterium. RNAcentral describes it as "partial 16S ribosomal RNA". It matches the Rfam family "Bacterial small subunit ribosomal RNA", at positions 338 to 795 of the family's 1533-position model. The record is from RNAcentral.
CCUACGGGUGGCUGCAGUGGGGGAUAUUGCGCAAUGGGCGAAAGCCUGACGCAGCGACGCCGCGUGGGUGAUGAAGGCCUUCGGGUCGUAAAGCCCUGUCGAGGGGGACGAAACGGCUCCGACCUAAUACGUCGGGGUUCUGACGGUACCCCUAAAGGAAGCACCGGCUAACUCCGUGCCAGCAGCCGCGGUAAUACGGAGGGUGCGAGCGUUGUUCGGAAUCACUGGGGGGAACUCGCGAGUAGGAGGUGAAAGCCCGGGGCUCACCCCCGGAAGUGCAUUGGAAACUGACAGACUGGAGUCCCGGAGAGGAGGGUGGAAUUCCUGGUGUAGCGGUGAAAUGCGUAGAUAUCAGGAGGAACACCGGUGGCGAAGGCGGCCCUCUGGACGGUGACUGACGCUGAGACGCGAAAGCGUGGGGAGCAAACAGGAUUAGAUACCCCAGUAGUC